Gallus gallus (chicken) is the source of this 13422-nucleotide long non-coding RNA. RefSeq lists it as uncharacterized. The record is from RefSeq and is a predicted model, not a curated record. Lineage: Eukaryota; Metazoa; Chordata; Aves; Galliformes; Phasianidae. The transcript is spliced from 2 exons.
AGACAGCAGGAGGAAGGUACACUGGCACGCGAGCUACCCAGCCAGCAGUGGCUGAAGGAGGAGUGAGUUGCUCAUGUUGAAUUUGUGGUAAUGUCUGAAAUGUGUUCUGGGGCUUUUUUGAAACAGGAGCACCUACUGUCCCUGCUGCACUUGAACACUUAGAAAAGGAGGAGGGAAAAAGAAAAACAACAAAAACAGUGAAUAUGUCAGAUGAAAUUGUAAUCUGAUCACGGAUAUUCCAUGGACUGAAAAAAACAACGCUCACAAUGAAUACUUUGUUUGAUUACGCUUAUUUACCUGGCUCCACUCACAACCCCCCUUCCUUACAUGAUAAAUGCCUUCGUUGUGUGGUGCAGGUGGGGGUGGGCUGCCAGGUGGGAUGUCCUCGUUCAGGUCCUUCUCUGGGACAUCCCCCUGCACCUACGGGGAGCAGGGCAGGGCUGAGGAUGGGGAGAAGUGCCAUCCAGCCACCCAGAAGGUGUCUUUGAGGGCCAAGUGAGCUGGCGCGGGACAGGGAAUAGUACCGUGCUCCAACCCAGCUGCUGGCACAUCAUCUGGCCCGUCCUUUUGUCAUAGCUCCCUAGGCAAACAACAGCAGGCAGGGUUAAAAGGUGAUUUCCUGUGCUCGGCAGCAAACCCAUCAUUAGCAGCUGCUUCCCAGCUACCUGCCAGGGGUGAUUUAUAGGCUCAGAGCUGGGGGAGGCCCCGCUGGAGCCAGGAGGGUUUACCAAUUUGUGCUGUUUUGUCCCCAAAGCAGGGCUAUUCCGUGCUUGUCAGAUUUAGGACCGUCCCUGAAACACGCCUUGCGUGGGCAUCCACAUGUCAGCUCUCACUGGGUGAAGCAUGGAAAUGCUCCAUGUUAAAGCAGUGAAAAGCAGCCUGUAGAAAGAGCAAAGGAGAUCUUCUGGUUUUUUUACUACAAUCCUGCCAGUUGACACCUUGGGAAUGCUCCUGUAUUUCUCCACAAACCCAACACUAUGUUGAUUUUUAAACUGACGGUGCUUGUUACCAGGAGGAGGAAGUUGAUGCCUUUUAGGAUAUGUUGCAUUACUUCAGGGAAUCUGAACGAGCCAUGCACCCAACCCACUCAGCUCCUGCAUUCCUCCAAAAUGCUGAGGCUCUUCCCUCAGCCUCACCCAGGUGCUCAUCACCCAGCAUUUUGGCUUUCUUGGGCUGAAUCUCUCCUUUCACUGUAGUAAAGUUCUUUGAAGUUCUUGGCUUGCCAUUUAUCUGGGAAUCCUGCUAGAUGAUGGUGGAGCCUGAGAUCUGCAUAAGCCAGAAAUAACACACUGAAGAGUGUAGGGCAUAUAGACUGGAAGAAAUUAAUGUGCAGUGUUUUUGGGGGGUUGGUUUGUGUUUUAUUAUUUUUCCCCUUCUGUUUCAUUCUUUCUUUACACUCCUUUUAAACUUAUAUAUAUAUGAUAGUCCAUUUGGUCCUCCUUGCCCAGAAAACAUUUAUUGCAGCUCUCCUGUAAACGCUUUUCCCCGACCACAGCAAUAGAUUUUUAGGGUUUGAUUUUUUUCACUCUGUUUUAAAGAGAAAGCACAUUUGCUCUUUUUAUUUCCUAAGGUAGUUAUUAAAAUCUUUGCAGUCCUCCCCCUCUCCCACACACGGAUGAAUAAACUUGACUGCGUGCGGCAGAAUUUUCAGAAGCAUCUGCAUGAUUGAGUCAUUUAAGCAGUCAUUUACGCAUCUCUGAAAAUCCCGGCCGCUGCCUCCAGUCCUUGCUGCAAGGUCCUGCCUCUCCUUGAAGAUGUUGCAAUCUGUUCGACAGCUGCGGUCCAAGAUUGGAAAUGGCUCUGCAGAUGAGUGCUGCAGCCCGGGCGGCAGUACCCUUCUGCCCCUUCUUUAUGGUGCACACUCCCCAGCCAUCGUGUUGAAGCAUGGGUUGCGUCCUUAAAAACAGGGCUCUGCCAUUAGAUAACUCUGCUGUGCUUUAGACCCAUAGUGAUGAGAGAAAUCAAUACAACCCUCCGUUCCGAGAGUCCUACCUAAGGGAGCAGAAAGCUGAGGUAUAUGGAAGUGAAUGUCACUGACUUUGGGGAAAAAAACGCUGAUUUCUGAACUGAAAUCUCCAUUUAGAAGUUUAACAAUAUGUAGCUGUGUUUCUUUAAUUCCAGAUCCUCAGUAGGGCCCAUAAAUGUUUUCCAUAUGUUAGCAAAUAAAUUUCUCCUGUCUUGUACGUUAUAAAUCGUCCUCUCAAGAGAUGCAAUCUGAGUAAGACUGGCCAUCCGCUCUGUCCCUGCUGGGGGAAGCAUUGUCUUUGCUUGGGCUGAGAUUGUUCUGUUUGUCUUCAUCCAUCCAGCCUGCAUCUUCAGACUUCUUUAAUUAACGUUCACUUUGCAAAUACCAUUUAAUAAGGAUCAAAUAAUUCUGUAGUUCCUCGGCCACAGAAUUUGCCGUAUAAUUGAGUUCUUCUGCAGAUUUUUUCCUUAAUCUACACUUUUACUUUCAAUUACAGAUAAUAAUCCCACAUGACCGUGAAGUGAAAAAUGUGAAGCAAGUCCAAGGAAAGAAAGAUUUCCAGGAUCCUGGCUAAAAGCUUGCUUAACUCCUUCCUCCGAAAGCAGAACAGGGCAGAUGCUCUCUUCCUUCACUCAGGGGACAUGGACACACCUUGCUGCUACUAAGUCUACCCAUUGUUUUCUCUCUCCUGUGUGUAGCCAGCGUCCUGCUGCUAGGAUCCAUACCCACGAUCUCCAGACUCUGACUUCCCCCACGAAGCUGCGUAUUCAGGGCAGUCCCACACCCCUCACACCCCUUCCUCAACACAAAGAUGUUCCCCUGUUGCUCAGGGAUGCUGGAGCCAGGAAGCUUGUCCCACAGCUUGGAUGCUGCUGGCGUUCAUUGCUGGGACAGACGCGAUGCUGGCGGUACGGGUUGUGGCAGAUGUUAAUGUUACAGCCUUCCUCGCAUCUCUUCUGGUCUCAUAAUUAAAAAAACAGAUUUCUCCCCGCUGCCUUUCCAUGAAACCUUUUCCCUACUUUCAUCUCCCAUGUGGGCCUCAAGUGUGUUACAGCCUCACUAUUAAAAUUUAUAAGAUUUACGUUAGUUAGAUAAACACUAAAUCUAACUUUUCUUGCUGGCUUGGUUGUUUCAUAUUCAGAUGGUUCUUUUAAAGAACGACUGUAACUCAUUUUCUUUAAAGUACAUGCAUAGAGACCCAGCCCAGUUACUUUGGAUGGCUAUACUUGUGCAUUUUUGAGUUCUCUAUGAGGCUGGAGCAUCCCUUGUCCUGCCCUUCCACGGAUAAUGAUGUUGCUGAGCAUAGAGAAGCACUGAGUUGCAAGAUUUAUUCCUUUCGUGAGCUGCACUUGGGAUUGAGAAGAAGCAAGAGCCUGUGAUUUCCUUUUUCUCGAGUCUAAGAUACAGUAACAGAAAGGAAAAGCUGCUUUUGGAUGAGUGGAGCUCUGGAUAGUAGUGGUGGGGUGCAGUGCUUAGGUCGUCACUGCAAGCAAAGCAGCAGCGAUUGCUCCGUAAGACCAAGCAGAGCAACUGGGGACCCAUCACAACAAUAGUCAGGUGGCAUUACUUGUGGUAUUGUUGCUUAGCAGUGCCCAGAUGACAGAAGGGUUCAGUGCUCCUAGCCACGUCCUCUGGGCUUGGAGCUGGUGUUGUAAAGCACAGCUAUUAAUUGAGAUUAAAAAAUAUAAAGAAUCAUAGAAUUACGAAGGUUGGAGAAGACCACUAAGGUCAUCAAGUCCAACCAUCAAUGCAUUCCCACCAUGCCCACUAACCCAUGUCCUUCAGUGCCACGUCUGCCCUUUCCUUGAAAAGCUCCAGGGGUGGUGACUCCACCAUUUCCCAGAGCAGCUGUUCCAAUGAAGUACCACUCAUUCUGAGAAGAAAUCUUCCCUAAUAUCCAACCUCAGCCUCCCCUGGUGCAACUUAAAGCCAUUCUUUCUCAUCCUAUCGCUGUUAACCUGGGAGAAGGGACUGACCCCCCUCCUCACCACAUUUUUUCCCCCUCUUUUCCUCAAGUUGACUUUGUCUGGAUGAGUUUAUGUUGGUCACUGGGAGCGGUAACGGUCCAAUAGGUUUUCAGUAGGGAGAAUCAAGUGGAAAGUUUUCCUCUGGUUGGCAGGUCUUUAUAGCAGUGUGCUUCCCCCUUUCCUUCAGGUCCUCUCAUUUCUUUUAAUUGAUGCUGGAAAUGAACCCAUUUGUUUCUAAUUCCUAUACAAAUACAAGCAAGUUCUGCUUACUACAGCGAUCGGAUACAAUUGUCCCUGAGACAGAGAUGUCACCUGGAAGGGCAGCUGCUGUUUCCUUCAGUCAUUCAAAGCCACACAGGAGUGAUGACCUCACUAGUGCCUACCUCACGGAAGUUAUCAAGAUAUGCUAUACCUAAAAUCUGUUAAUUCUUACAUAUCUUGCAGGUUCACAGUAUGUAAAUGAAGAGCUUAGGUGAGCUGAUGGGAGAGAUAAGUAAUGGAUAGGUUUGAAGCCUUACCUGUAUCAGGCUAGUUGUUUUCCCCCACAGUCUACAGGUCCCUUGCAAGGUGACCUGUUGCUCCAGCAGUUCUGGCUGGAGGAAGCAGUCCCUGCAGUGAAUCACAGCCCGCUCACAGCCCCUGCAGUUUGGGGCGUGUGUGUGAAGACUGGCAAACAGCAUCUGUUGUUCAGCAACAAAUUAUUAAGCAGAUAAUAUCUGUGUCGCGCUCCCUUGAGCCUUGCUGUCCUGUAGUUCUCUGUGUAGCUAAUUAGAGUGGUGAUGUGGAUGUGUCAAACUGCUUUGCUGAGGGUAAGCAAUUCCUCUUGUCGCGAUCCCUUCUCUAAGUUCUGUUUUUAUAGUGUGUUUUCUGGCUCCGUCCCAUUCCCAUAUACAAACACAGUUGGUUCUGCAGUGGGAUUGGGAUAUGUCCUGCAGGAAACUGAAAUCUGAUCUUCUGCUACAAUGGAAGUUUCCCUAUAGCUGCAUCUUGCCAGAACUCGUGUUACAGUUUGUGCACCGGUCGGGGAUCCUUGUGUUCAGCUUGCUCCUUUUCCCUUGCUCGAGUGAUACGGAGGAGAUUUUUGCUUCUUUCCAUUUUUAGCACUCCUUUCUUCUUUUCCCCAUGCUUAAUGGUGAUGGGGUGGCAUAGUUAAGCGUGCCAGCUCUUUCAGUGUUAUCCUCACUUUAAUUCUUGUGUACAUAUCUUGCACAUAACCUGUCUUGCGUUCAUUUAAGUGAUCUCCCAGCUUCCAAAAGCCUGUUUCCUUGUAAUAUACGGUCCUUGGAGGCUUCUGGAUGGGAAGGGUAUCAGCGACCUGCCUGUAGGAUUGUCUGAAGGUGAAUGGAGCGGUGCACUGCCAGCUGUAGUUUGUAGCUAAUGAGUUCUUGCUCUGAGCCUGCUGCAGCACCACUUUGCACUUGCAUUCAGCUAGCUGAGUGUUUGUCUUCCAAAAAAAUAAUUUGGCUGCGUGGUGACAUACUGCAGCUAUGUGAUGAGUUAACGUGUGGAGCUGUUUAUGAGCACGUUCCCUUCUUAUUUUCCCAAGGGGUGAAGAAGUGUGCAGGCUGCUGUGCCAUCCAGAAUGGCAGCGAGUGUGUUGAGAUUUGACCUUUGGGAACAGGAACACACAAACAGCCCAACCUGCACCACAUCUUGGUUACGUGUUUCCCCUCGGUGCUGCGCAGUGGUCAGGGUGAAGCAGGCAUUUAAUGGGAAGAUUUUGCAGCACAACUUUACAAAAUGAGUCUAUGGCCUCUGAUUUUGGCCUUGCUUUUGUUCAGCUUUGAUUCCCCAGACGUUUCUUCAGCACUGUGUAGGGGAGUGUAGGUGAGGGACUCAGUUUGAAGCAAGAAGCCCAAAGGAAGCACGUUUGGUUCCCCAAAACUUGAGCAUCAUACCCAAAACUGCUGCCAAAGAAUGCGGCUCCAGUUGGCUGCUGCAAAGCUGGCAGAGCAAUGUGAGGCCCCUCCUGUUUGCCAGCACAGGGAAUUGACCCCAGAACUGUCCCUAUAAAAGAAAAUGAACCCUUUUCCAGUGGUUCAGCUCCUGCAGGGCCAGAGAAGCUGUUGGCUGGACCAGACCCCCAGCACCCUGCUCGUGUCCAUCCUGCACUGCCAAUGGACGUGUGAUGCCCUGCAAAGCAGCUGGUGGAAAACGGCCACACAACUCCCCCUGAAAAGCUGAUGGCACUUUGCUUCUCUGGGCACUUUCUGUACUGGUGUGGCUGAGUGGGGCUGAUGGGGAUCUCAGCAGCACUCGUUGAGGGAGGGGCUGUGAUUUCCACACACUGCGUUUUGAACGCAGGCAGAUCGGGUUGGAAUCCCAUUGUCUCAUGCAAUGGGGAUGGGCAAAAAAUAAAGAAAAGAGAAAAAAAUAAGUCAGUGCAGAGAGUUUGGGCCACUUGGAGCGUGCACCCAAGCUUUGCUAAAUCUAACCAUAAUUUGGGUUUGUCCUUUGAAUUUAUUUUAUUUUUUUCAUUUUCUUGGAGAGCUCACAAAGAGGAAGGAGGAGCUUGGGAAAGCUAAACAACAUGCAAUGUGCUCUUACAUGAGGCUCCAAGAAUGAUUGUUCCUUUAAAGCGACAGUCUGCCCCUUUAAAAGAAAUAAAAAUCUCAAAGAAAAUCCCCCAACUGACCAAAAUCCUGCAUCAUGAUGCUGCCCACACCCCCAGGCUUGUGCUGGUUUUAACUGAGAAUGCAAAAGCCCCGUGAGCUCAUUGUGGAGCUCUGCCCAGCGCAGAGAUGCAUUAUAAACAACUGCAGCUAAAUAGCUGUGUUCCCUGCCCUCACCUGCCUAAUGUGUUUUGCCAAGGGUCUGCUUUCCCUGCGCCUUGUAAAUAUUUUAUGAAAAUUAAAUCAGAAGUGAUUACAGCAGGCAGUUCAUCUGUCUCUGGUUCCGUCUGCAAGAAGAGAGGGAAGGCAGAAGUCAGUAAGUGCCACUGCAUUUUUAAGCAGAGCCCGACAUAUUUACAGUGCAUGUGAAGAGGGCGUUUUUUAAGUUUGCAUCAGCUGUUGGGUUCUAUUUUAGUGAUGGAUUCCAGCUAAAAUAACGUGGAUGCUCAGAACUGUGUGAAUAAAUGACCCCUAACUGACUUCUUAAAAUAUCAUAUCAGUCUGCUGUGGGAAGUCUGCAUUCAACUGUUUUUUCCUCUCUGUUUGCAUCCGAGUGUAUUAUACAGGAGCAGUGUGCCUAUGAACUUGGAGGCCGCAGCAUUUCAUCUGUACGUAGCAAAGGUGUGAAUGAUGGACUGGGGGCUCCGAUUCUUGCAGCUAAUCUUGUUUUUGUCAGCGUACCCCCAUUCCCUAGCCUUAUUUUCCCCCUGCCUGGGAGUUUCUGCAUGGAGGAGCUGGGACUCAGUGCUGAGUUAUGUGGAGCCAUCUGUUCCUGGCUGCCCCUGGAGCUGCACAGGCUCUCACCAUCCUCUGUGUGCGUUGCUCAACACCCGCCAGCCGAGCUUCGUUCCUUUAUUUCCUAGCAUCCGCAUCAGCCUUCUGAAGGAAAACCUUUCUGGCAGUGCUGAGUGUGAUAAGUUCCCUCUUAGCACUUGAAAACGGGGAGCCAGCGCUUCCCUAAUUAAUGGCAGCCAUGCUGAUAGCAAGCGUGUCAACAACUGAAAACUUAAGGGAGGAGCUGGGACCUGCACAGUAAUGUACCAAGGCAGUGAUCUGCUCUGUCCAGGUCCACAUCCUGCUGUGAGGCAGGGCUGCCUUGGUCUGAGCUUUCCUCUUGUCACAUUCUGCCUUUCCCUUCAGAGCACCCGAUGCAAAGACAUGACACGGUGCAUCAGCCCAGUGGUGGAGUAAGGGCAAGGUGAGAGAUUCCAAACAGUAAGGAGAUGUCCUGUGGAUGCUGUGUGGCUGAGGUCCUCCCUGAGCUCCUGCAGGUUCUUUCAAAUGCCUGCCUUCACAGAGCUGUGCCUGGUGCCUCGUAUCACUGGCAAGCAGCUAAAUGCAGAAAUCUCUCCGAGGUUUCCCCCGCAGCACAUCUGAUUGCUUGAUGUGUCGUUUCAGCUGUGUCUGAUUCUCACGUGUUCAUUUCAGGCCUUGCAGCGAGCCGCUCAGCCACAUCUGUGGAGCACGCCGAGCUGACCAGCGAUGCCAAGAGCGGCUUUAGCACGAGCUUAACAGAGAUGAUCUCGUGCACGGAGUCUUUGUAAAUGCUCCUCCAAGUCUUGCUGACUUAAGGCAGCACUGGGGUGUUUCUGGCACUGAGAGCCAUAACCACAAACGUUAAAAAGAAUAAUAAUAACAAAAAGAUAAAAAAUAAAGGUAGCAGGAAAGUGUCUGCCCUAAAUACGCAGGGCACGUCCAGAGAAUGGAAAACAUGAAAUCCUUUUCUAACUCUCUUGAAUAGAGAGAGUAGGCACUGAGACAGGAGCUGAGAGUUUCCAUCUUCCCCUCUAGAAGUGCUGUGUAUCUUUAGGCUUAAGAAUAAAAGCUAGAGGGGAGAGGAAAGAAUUGGUCCUGCAAGAUCAGGCUGAAGGAGUUCUAAGAGACCAUAUUUUAUCUUAAUUUCUUUGGAAAGGUGGAAGUUUCUUUGCUGUGCGUCCAAAAUAGCUCUCAGACUUCCUCUUUGCAAAGUUCAUAAACAGGGGAGGCCCUGCAGAUAAACCUCAGCUUCAAGCACAGGUCCGUAGCAUUGGCUUUCUUACCGCCCCACGGACUUUUAUCGUUUUUCCUUUCCUUAUUGAUAGUGCAGCUGUGUUUUCCCUUUUUCCAGUGAAUGAGGAGGGCUGUGCACACUUGUGCUGGGGCUCCCGAGCGAUUGUGCCUGGGCAGAGCAGGCAAACAGCAGGCUGAUUGCCUGUUUUCCAGGCUCAUCCUCAAGCUGUGAGUUGGUGACCGAGUGGGGCUUCUUUUCCUGGGCACGAUGUGAGACAGCAAGUGGCUCCCCUUCAGCAUGCACAGGCUUCUCACAAUGAAAGCAGGAGCUGCCAUGGGGAGGUUGUGCUGCUGAAGUGUCUGCCUUGGUGAAGAUGAGACCCACCACGUUCUGUGUUCCCACGCGGGCUGCAUUCAGAACCCCUCGGGUGGGGAUGAUUCAGCAAGCAGACCUGCUGCAGAGCAGCGUGUGCAGCAGAGAACAGGCUAGCUCAUAGACAGCUCACGCUUUAGAAAGGCCAAGCUGGCACAGGUUUUCAGUUCAGAGCCAUUACUUGCAAAACGACAUGUUCAACACUGUGAUGCUUCUGUUCCCCAUUGCCUUCUCCAUCUCGUGUAGCUGUAAAAAUCCUAGCGAAAGAACAAACCGUCUUGUUUGACCAGCAAUUAUUCUUGACAGCAAACUUGCUGUAGCUGGCUUAGAGCAUUUGUGGAAGCUGCAAGCAGCGGAGCUCCCAUAAAUUCCCUCAGGCAACUGAUUUCUGACGAGCUGCUCCAUAAUUUGGAGAUGGGCAGUUCUUUUUCCUGGUCGCCCUGGAUAUUGCGCUGUAUGAAGCGAAACUGUUCCGUGAAGCCCUUGGAGGCAAGGUGAUCCAUCCAGAUCAGUAGCUGGGCAGGGGGAAAGCUUUUUUUAUUUCUCAUCAGCUUUUAUGAUCGAUAGUAAUCUCAGAAUAUUACUUAGGCACCUGAUUAGCCGGCUGUUCUUGUGUAACAAAUCCAUUUAAAUGAGAAGUAAACUGCAGUAAAUUAUUAACAUAAUCUUCUGCACUAAUGACUAGGCUUUUUAAAUUGAAUGAGUCACUUAAAUUGUGAGAGGGAAACAGGGACCAGGGACACUUCUUCCUUUCAUUUUAAUGAUCACAGUACAACCAUUCGCAUGUAGAAAUGCAGUGUUUCCUCUCACAGCAGCCGUAUCACACAUGCAGUACGUGUGCUCGCUCAGAUACGCUCAGCUCGCUUGCAAAAGGAAAUGUGUAACGCGGGUUUUAUAAAAUCACUAUUAUGGCCAUGAUUAAUGAUUUUGUUAUCCGAGCAGCAAAACCACAAGUCUUUGCAGCCGCCAUAGCAGUCGCUGAGCUCCAGUACGUGCCGCCCAGAAUUCGCUAAUGGAGCAUCGAGGGCAUGUUGAAACGACGUUUCUUUGUGGACUCACUGUUCCAACUGCUUUAGGUUUGGGUUCAUUUCUCUUGUGUGACUACCGGGCAUGUUUUCAAUCGUUUUUUCUCUCUCUCUCAAAAAACAGUGGAGCCAGAUUGGUUUCAACGGGCUUUAGAGGAAGACAGUUUUUCUCUUAGAGACCAAUGGUUGGGACAUGUUUUUCUAUCAGUGAAAUAGCCUGACUCUGGAGACUGUGUGCUUUCUAGAUAUAUUGCUGUAAGCAAGUGUGAUAUAUUUGGGUGACCUGCAGUGAAGCUCUAAAAUCUUCCCCUCUGUCAUCUUCCCCAAAAUCUUCACUGCUGUGGUGGUAGCUGAAAAUCGUAGCCAACACAGUCUUGUUGUAUGGGACAGGAAUUGUUUUCUGCUUCCAUCAUGGGUGAAGUCCUUUCCCUUGAGGAUGAAUCUGACUUGUACCAGUCACCAAGUUCAGAUUCAGUUGCAGUUGAGUAGUAGAGGGAGUACCAGAGCUUUCAGGGCUUGAGCAUCAUACCUUUGAAUCUUGGUCACUGAACUUUCUUCUUGAACCACAUUGGAACUAUGGGAUUUAUCUCAAGUCCUUGCUUCUGUUUGAACCUUAUCUGAGCACGUUCCACUGAAUGUCUUAUGUUCUCUUCCAGAGGAUAUGAGAAGAAUAAUCACUUCCUACUCUCCUUCCACAUGGGACUCGUGAUUCUAUAGACUUCUUCCUUCCCAUCUUCACAUUUCCUUCCAUUAUCUCUUUGCCAGGGUGGAGAGAGCCAACCUCCCUAGUUAGCUAGUAUUCAGAAACCAUGUCUCUGAUUGUCCUGACUAUUGCCCUGGGAGCUUUGCCAUGAUGGAAAUACCCUUGUGAAGAUUUCAGUGCUGCUGCUUGUAUUUUUUUUUUUAUAUAUAAUCUGUUGAUGAGCCCUCUGUCAUGGAGCUGCUUGUUUUAACCCCAUGACCUCUUUUCUCAGCAGUGAUAGUUAUUUCAGAGUACAUCAUUGUACAUGGUAGAUGAAGGUGUCCCCGUCAGAUUGCAUAUUAGUGGUAAUUAGAGUUUGUUGUUAUUGUUUAACAUCUGGUCUUUCAGCAUUAUAAGAUUCUUAAGCAAGUUUUCAGGGUCGGCUUUCAUUUUUACUCCCCUGAAUAACUUCACUGUCAUGAGAAGGUUUUAUCAUCGUGCUGUUAACUCCAUCUUAUUUAUGAGUAAGCUCACCAGCACAGAUGGAGAUCUGGGGGCUUCAUCCAUGACCUCCUUCUCGUGGAUGCCCUAUCCCUGGAGGCAUUCAAGGCCAGGCUGGAUGUGGCUCUGGGCAGCCUGGUCUGGUGGUUGGUGACCCUGCACAUAGCAGGGGGAGUUGAAACUCGAUCAGUGUGGUCCUUUUCAACCCAGGUCAUUCUAUGAUUCUAAGUGUUGAGGGCCUUCUUUUUUCUUCUACCAAAGCUUGGUGAGGGGCCUUUUUGGAAGGUAGCAGUGCUGAUUUCAGCAGAGAGUCAGCAAGAUAACCCUGCAACCAGUUGCCUUCAGCCUUGUCAACCUGGAGGCAGCACAAACUUUGUUAUGGAAGAGUGAACAGAGAACUAGGCUUGGAUAUCUUACUUUCUACCUUUCUUGGUGCUCAGAGCAAGUGUUUGCAUUGGCACACUGCCCCUCUAAUCUGAGGACAUUGAAUGUGGAAAUGAAGCAAUUUUUAAUAUGGUUAAAGUGGAGGCCUGAGCCGCAGCCUCUUUGGUAUGCUGCAAACAGGUUUUGUAGCCAUGUUGACACAUGUGGGGGAGAGGCUCAGUUGCCCUGCUGGCUCUGAAGUAGAUGAAGGCGUGGAGCAAAGGGUAGAUAAAGAUCCAGCACGAUAAAAAUCGCUCCAGCCUUUCUUCCAAUUGCCUCUUGCAGAAAUAUGGCUUUCCUCAUGGAGCCGUGCAUGCAUUCAGCGAACAGCAUGCUUUGUGGGGGCUGGUUAUAGCCCCCAGCUGUCCCACUAAGAUUAUGCAGCAGUUAUAUCCAGUUCAGGACUUCUUUCCAUCUAGCAGAGCAAGAGGGUUGCAGGCCAAUGUAUGCCACCUACUCCAGUUGAGUGAGUUUCCCAGGCUUCUUUCCGUUCACCAUGAGCACCCACAGUGUAGUUGGGGCAUACCCACGGAGGUUUGUCCCAGCAGGGCUCGGCUGCAUUUCCACUGAAAGCGAAGGGUCCUGCUGGCACAGCACCAUGCUAAGUCCUUCUUCCUUUUUGGCUCAUGACAGUCAAAGUUUUACUUUGAGAGCGUGCUACAGGGCAAAACUGCCUGCAAUACAGGAAUACAGGGUAUUUGCCUUUCUGUUCUAAGAAGCUGAAAUUAAAGCUCUGCAUCCAGGUCUGCAUCACAUGCAGUGCUGUAGAAAAGUGCUUGUAGGAGGGGGCUGUUGUAACUAAAUCCUAACUCUUCAAAGGUUUUCAAAAUAGCCUGGGAGCUUGAUAUUAUUUUGAAGAACUUGCUUGUAGAAGCUGCUAGUUUUGUCUUGAAGGGUCCCCAGAAAGUGCUAGAUGUAGGACUUGAAGUUACAGGCACAAAUCUUAGCUUAAACCCCAGGUGUGAAGUGCCUACAUCUAGUAAGAGAUGAUGACUAGGGUGAUGAAACCACUAAAAAAGAACCUGAACACCAGUGCAGUUGCACUUUAUAGGUGUUAGUAUAACUUAGAGCUUGUUGUAAUUCUGAAUACAUGAUUUUAAAAUAACUGGGGAAAAUCGCAACAAUCUCACAUGAAUUAGAAGUCAGUUCACAAAGGGUGGGUCAGCCAUUCAGAACUCAUCCUGCUUGUUCUACUUCUCAGAUAACGCAGUCUGACUUCACAUCACACUGCAAACAGAGCUGUGUAUUUGCUUUCAACAAAAUAAGGUGGCAGCUUAGUGCUAUACGAGUCCAAGUGGGUCGACAGAUAUUUUGUGUUGUAAUGCUUUAAGGUGUGUUCACCUUUCGGCAGCGUCUUGCAAAGCGUUGUUUUGAGAAUAAACAAAUAGCCACAGUGGCUGUUCUUGUCCUCUUGGAAUAAGAGACGUGUUUAGAAACUACGAUUCAUUGAAAAAUAAUAUUUAGAGAGUGCAUUCUUGACCAAGAGAGAAGGUUUUUCAGGUAGAACCAGUCUUCUGCCAUUGUUGAUAUAACCACCUUCCCCUGUUGAGUUUGUGUCUCCACCUAAUGUUGUGGCUCAUGGAAACCUCUCCACUGGGCUUACCUUAGCUGCAGCAUGGGUUGCUAGCUGAAGAGGGUUAAAGAUCUUUCCCUGUUUGUGGCACCAGUACUUUUGGAACACGUAAUGUUACGGCUUUUCUUUCAGUUGUACCCAUGGGCAAAAGGAGCCGUCAAGGGGGUGUUCAUGUAACAGCUGUCCUUUGAUAUUUGUGGUAAUGUGAAAAAGUCUAAACAAUCAACGAAAGGAAUUAAUGGGCCCGAACGUCUGGAUAUUAGAGGGAAAAUACAAAGGUUGCGUCCAAAAGUAAUGCCUCCUGUUUUGAU